CUCGUGACCCUCAUUUCUGAUACCGGGAGUUUGACGAAAUAAGAGUCACUACGUAAGCUAAUCAGUGAAGGUUUGACGUCUCCGGGAUCAAGAACAGAGAUCGGGACCUAAGAGUUAUGUCUUUACCAUGUGACUACAGUGAGCGGUCCAUUCGACAUCAUCCUAAGGACCAAUACAGGUUGAAAUGGGCUUCGAUCCAACAAGUUCAACAGCAAUUUGCCUUGGAAAUUGUCAAGAAAGUGAUGACGUCAUAUCUCCUGGACCCCACAACUUCACAGCUUACGGAGAAAAUUCAAGAAUUUGUGCAAAAUAUGGGACUUGGAAAGAAUCGUUAAAAUAUAUGUGAUCAAUGAAUAUUGUGUAACAUACGAAAGUGUGAAUUUAAUGAAAAACAAGUAAAUAUCCUCAUGCAUCACCCGCCCUUUUCAAGUAAAUUAUACUGACUAAAUAUAGAGGACAUGUCAUUGUUGAUUAUUGUGAUUCUUCGAUAAAUCAAAAUCAGUAAAUAUUUCAAAAUGAAAAUGUCUAUCUUAUAACUUUAAUCAAUGUGUGAAUUUCUCUUGCAAAUUAAAGG
Ostrea edulis (European flat oyster) is the source of this 574-nucleotide long non-coding RNA. RefSeq lists it as uncharacterized. NCBI's taxonomy places the organism in Eukaryota, Metazoa, Mollusca, Bivalvia, Ostreida, Ostreidae. The transcript has 3 exons. The record is from RefSeq and is a predicted model, not a curated record.